This 230-nucleotide small RNA is filed under the name Sinorhizobium meliloti 2011. RNAcentral describes it as "putative ncRNA". Lineage: Bacteria; Pseudomonadati; Pseudomonadota; Alphaproteobacteria; Hyphomicrobiales; Rhizobiaceae. The record is from RNAcentral.
AAGGGUCGCUGUAGCACUUUGAUCUGCUGCAUGUUUUUGUCCUUUAAUCGUAUACGAUUAAAGGAAACAUGCAGUAGAUUGCCCCUCAUCCGCCUGCCGGCACCUUCUCCCCGCAAGCGGGGCGAAGGGACAAGCGGCGCCGACUGAACCUCGCAUUCACCGCCGGCUCAAGGGAGCGAGCGGGCGCGGCAUAUCCCUUCUCCCCGCCUGCGGGGAGAAGGUGGCGGCAG